CCACCACCACUACCAGUGGACUUUGAGAUAGUCCUUGAAUUGGUCAUCCCAGUAUCCAGUGUGCCCCCAAAUUUCAGUGAUGUACUCAGACAAAUUCUGAAAAAUGUCUCAUUCCCCCAAACCAUCUCUGGGUCUCUAAUAAUAACAGAGCUGAACUUCACCACAUGGUGCUAUCCAAACUCCACUGGAGGACUGCAGUGUCAGUGUGAGCAGCAGUUUGCUUGGUCAUGUGACAAGUGUGACAAAUAUGGUGCCUGUAGUGAUGUCAUCUCCCAGACCUGUGGGUGCAUAGCAGGGCUUCCUCCUGGUGGAGAGUUCUGUGAACCAAUCACAAGUAUCACUCCAUGUUCAACACCAACACCACCAACACCAUCACCACCAACACCAU
Archocentrus centrarchus (flier cichlid) is the source of this 388-nucleotide long non-coding RNA. RefSeq lists it as uncharacterized. The transcript is spliced from 4 exons. The record is from RefSeq and is a predicted model, not a curated record. Lineage: Eukaryota; Metazoa; Chordata; Actinopteri; Cichliformes; Cichlidae.